Molecule: long non-coding RNA, 135 nt
Organism: Bradysia coprophila
Lineage: Eukaryota; Metazoa; Arthropoda; Insecta; Diptera; Sciaridae
Source: RefSeq, a predicted model, not a curated record
AUUUUUUUGGUAAAAUUUUGUUUCUUGAAUUUCUUUGGUUAAAUUUUUGCUGUUACAGUUUUUGCGUUGGCUGAGAUUUAUAUCCACUCAGCGGAGAGUAAAGCUUUCAAGUCGCGAAACUUAAUUUAUAGGAUG